UAUAAAAGUUUGUUAAAUCUCUAUUCCAUUCGAUAAUGUGAAAUUUAUAUAAAAAUUGUUUAAUAUUUCAGAUGAAACUGAAGACGCUAUUAUCUCAAUCGUUUUAUUUAAAAUUUCAUCAACAGAGCUAUUCGUUGAAAGCUCAUCCCAGAUCAUUAUAAUAUUCGCAUGUGAAAACGAUUGUGUUGUAUAAAGAUGAAGAAGGUAUAUCUUGCUGCAAUAGCGGGAAAUCUGGGAAUGCUGUCAGUCGGCCAAUUUUUUGCUUGGUCAUCACCAUCCUUGCCGAUAUUGAUGCAAGGAAAGGAUGAAACAUAUCCUGUACAUCUGAUUUCCGAAGAAGCCGCUUGGGUAACAUCUUUACUUACAUUCGGUUCAGCCGUGGGUGCCAUUAUUUGUACAAUCACGAUGGAUGUCUACGGCAGAAAAAACAUCAUGUUAUUUACGGUCAUACCCUCGAUAAUGAGCUGGUUGAUGAUAGCUUUUGCAACAUCACUAUUGGAGCUAUAUAUAUCAAGGUUUAUAUCCGGUUUGGCUAUGGGUAUCGCUUUUUCAGUUACGCCGAUAUAUUUAGGUGAAAUUUCACCAGCGCACAUCCGCGGUAAUUUGACAUCCAUGUUAAUAGCCGCCACGAGAAUCGGCAAUUUAAUUAUGUACGUGAUAGGCCCAUUUUUAUCGGUACAAAAUCUCGCCUUCGUGUCUUUGAUUGGACCGUGUCUAUUUAUAUUUGCUUUCAUCUGGCUACCGGAAUCUCCGUACUAUUUGAUGCAUCACAACGAGAAGCAAAAAGCUAUAAACUCUCUCAUUCAAUUGAGAGGCAAAGAGGAUGUUCACAAUGAAGCAAAUGAUAUUGAGCGGUUUGUAAAAGUUGAUUUAGCUAAUAAAGCUAGUUUUCGAGAACUCUUAUGCGUGCCAGGAAAUCGCAGGGCUCUAAUAAUAAUAUCGUGCCUGGGCGUAAUUCAACAAAUGUCCGGUUUUCAAACAAUGUUGCAGUAUGCUGAUAUCAUUUUCGAUCAGGCGAAUAGUAAUCUGGAGAGCAAGUAUCUGACCAUGAUACUGGGCGUCAUACAAGUUAUAUUUUCCAUUAUUUCUAUGUUUAUCACUGAUCACUUCGGUAGGAAGUCGCUGCUGAUCAUCUCCGCAAUCGGUUCGGGCUGUUCGACCGCUAUAGUCGCGAUAUAUUUCAAUCUGCAAUACAAUCAUAUAAAUACCAACCAUCUAGUUUGGUUGCUCGCCACAAGUGUGAUGAUGUAUACAAUCAUGUAUGCUUUGGGCCUAGCCUCGGUACCGUUCACCUUGCUCAGCGAAAUGUAUCCCAUAAAUGUGAAGGCUCUCGGCAGCACGAUUUUUUUAGUACUUAUCAGUUUGUUGAGUUUUGUUAUGUCAACGUUGUAUUUGAUCAUUACCGAUAUUGUUGGCGCACACGUACCGUUCUGGAUAUUCACCGCGUGCAGUCUCGCUGGUGCUUUAUUCAUAUUUCUCUGUGUACCUGAAACCAAAGGCAAGACGUUCGAACAAAUACAAGAGCAAUUGCAAGACUUAUCGAAGCAAUGAGAAUCGUAAAUAAAAUAUUUACACGUUAAACUUUUUUCAACGAGUAGUAUUCUUAAAUUGUUCAUUAGAGAAAGCACUUUUUAAAAUCGGACUUAUAUCGGACUCGCCACAUUAAUUGCAUUUAGAAAGAUUAAUCAUAAAUAUAUACACAAAAUUUAGUUUUGGCAAUUGGAAAAUUAUAAUGAUAUUGUAUUUCCUAAAUUUGUAUAAGAACCAGCUUUUUAUCUUUAGCUGACAUUUAAAAAUUAAUAUUAUCAGAUAGCAAUAAUAUAAUGAUCUUGUUUUUUGAUAUUUAUAUUGAUAAAUUUUGAAUGAUAGAUAAAUAGCAUGCUUCUUUGUAUAAAAAUCUCUCGACAAUAGGAUCAAAAAAGGUUUAAUUGGUUUCUUGUUUAAUAUACAGACUAAAUAUAGCAUAAAAUAUUUAACAUAUAAAUAUGUGCAAUAAUUCUUGAUAAGAUAUUUGUAAUUGUUUUCAAAUUAUGAUUACAUAAGAUCUGAAAUAAAGAUUAUAUAAGAUUUGUUCUUCGAUAAUAUAAAAUCUGUUAUUUGAUAAUAUAAAAUCUGUUCUUCGAUAAUAUAAAAUCUGUUCUUCGAGUAUACACAAUUUAUUCUUUCUUCUUUAUAUCAAAUGUGCAAUAUGCUGAUGAUAAAGUUGAUAUGAUAGUGUUAUCUAUAAACCUUUUUUAAAUCAGCUUAUUAUGACAAACUCAUCAUUUAAUGUUUGCAUGUGAAACCGGUUGUAUUGCGAAACAUGAAGAAAAUAUAUCUCGCCGCUGUAGCAGGUACAUAUAUAUUUUUUAGAAUAAUUAGACAAAUAAAUAAAUUUUUGGAU
Formica exsecta is the source of this 2383-nucleotide RNA transcript. It is a transcript of the gene named facilitated trehalose transporter Tret1-2 homolog, with no coding region annotated. The record is from RefSeq and is a predicted model, not a curated record. The transcript has 5 exons. Lineage: Eukaryota; Metazoa; Arthropoda; Insecta; Hymenoptera; Formicidae.